Molecule: RNase P RNA, 397 nt
Filed under: human gut metagenome
Description: Bacterial RNase P class A
Rfam family: Bacterial RNase P class A
About the family: Ribonuclease P (RNase P) is a ubiquitous endoribonuclease, found in archaea, bacteria and eukarya as well as chloroplasts and mitochondria. Its best characterised activity is the generation of mature 5'-ends of tRNAs by cleaving the 5'-leader elements of precursor-tRNAs.
Source: RNAcentral
UUAGCCAGACGGUUACUGCGUUGCUGUUAUGGCAACGGAGAGGAAAGUCCGAGCCUUUAAAGGAUGUAAUGCCGGAGAAAUCCCGGUGGAGGCGACUCUAAGGAAAGUGCAACAGAAAAUAACUACCUAUUCUAUAUGAAUAGGAAAAGGUGAAAAGGUGAGGUAAAGGCUCACCGCAGAGUUGGUAACAACUUUGGUCAAUGCAAACCCCAUUUAAGGCAAGAUUAAGUUACCACAUUUAGUGUAUCCUUUCGCGUGGUACAAAAAUAUCGCUAAGCCGAAGUUUUAAUAUAUGUUUUUUAAAGAAUAUAUAUUAAAAUUUCGCGUGAUUGUAAUAGAGAUAUUACAACUAGAAAGAUGACCGUUUAAUACAGAACUCGGCUUAUAGACUAACUCC